This 249-nucleotide long non-coding RNA is filed under the name Phascolarctos cinereus (koala). RNAcentral's name for it is "lncRNA (ENSPCIG00000026091.2)". Lineage: Eukaryota; Metazoa; Chordata; Mammalia; Diprotodontia; Phascolarctidae. The record is from RNAcentral.
GAAGUUCUGGUUCACCUUAUGAAGUGAUUUACAACUAUUUCCUUUCUUUUUUUUCCUUCCUUUUGUACUGUAGGAGAAACUGCUCCAAAGUGUGUACAUAUCAAGAGCAGUAACUUGCAACUUCUGCAACCAGAAAAACACAGGACUGAUCUCCAAGUAUAUCUGAUGCUCUUUCCAGACUCAUUUCUCCAUAUAUUCAUCCCAACAUUAAUGGCCCCCUGGCCAUGAAGUUGUAUUUAGACCCCCAGC